GACCAACUAAACGAGGGAAAAAUAGAAGAAGACUAUUCACUCGGUUUGGUUGUCCCGUGAACGAGCGCAAUGGCACGUACGAUAGAACUAACACCGGCUCGUAAAAUUUCUAGUCCUACCUCGAAGGAAAAGCAGAGUUCUCUCUCUCUCAUUCUUUCUCUCUCUUUCUCUCCAAUGUAGACACGGAGGCCACAAUUAACCCGAAUCGAGAGCUACAAGACUCCCUCGUUUCUAUCUACACUGACUACGAACGUAUAUUCACUCUCUCUUUCUCUCUCUCUCUUUUCUCUCUUUCUAUCUCUCUCUUGUAUACGUACACACACAAACGAACGUGUGUGCUUGCAUACACGCAGCAUCUUCGAAGGAGUUUGAACCCCCGUGCAAGUUUCAACUUUGCGAGACGUAUAUAAACGUGGAUGCUACAAGGGGGGGGGUGGAUGGAAGGAAUGAGUGUGUAUGGAACACCACCCACCACCCCCCAACGAGAUUCCACAUAGGUGUAUUUGUAAAACGAGAAGGAGAAAGGGAAGAAGGGGAAGAAGAAGAAGAA
RNAcentral lists this long non-coding RNA (550 nucleotides) under Polistes fuscatus (common paper wasp). Its description in RNAcentral is "uncharacterized LOC122518907". The record is from RNAcentral. Lineage: Eukaryota; Metazoa; Arthropoda; Insecta; Hymenoptera; Vespidae.